GAUGAACGCUGGCGGCGUGCCUAACACAUGCAAGUCGAGCGAGAAAUCUUGGAAUGAGACUUCGGUUAAGUGAAGAGAUGGAAAGCGGCGGACGGGUGAGUAACGCGUAGGCAACCUGCCUUAUGCAGAGGGAUAGCCAUUGGAAACGAUGAUUAAAACCUCAUAAAGCCAUUUUAUCACAUGGUGAGAUGGUCAAAGAUUUAUCGGCAUAAGAUGGGCCUGCGUCUGAUUAGCUAGUUGGUGGGGUAACGGCCUACCAAGGCGACGAUCAGUAGCCGACCUGAGAGGGUGAUCGGCCACAUUGGAACUGAGACACGGUCCAAACUCCUACGGGAGGCAGCAGUGGGGAAUAUUGCACAAUGGGCGAAAGCCUGAUGCAGCAACGCCGCGUGAAGGAAGAAGGUCUUCGGAUCGUAAACUUCUGUCCUUGGGGAAGAUAAUGACGGUACCCUUGGAGGAAGCCCCGGCUAACUACGUGCCAGCAGCCGCGGUAAUACGUAGGGGGCAAGCGUUAUCCGGAAUUAUUGGGCGUAAAGAGUGCGUAGGUGGUUACCUAAGCAGGGGGUGAAAGGCACUGGCUUAACCAAUGUCAGCCCCCUGAACUGGGUACCUUGAGUGCAGGAGAGGAAAGCGGAAUUCCUAGUGUAGCAGUGAAAUGCGUAGAUAUUAGGAGGAACACCAGUGGCGAAGGCGGCUUUCUGGACUGUUACUGA
This 713-nucleotide ribosomal RNA is filed under the name uncultured Clostridium sp. RNAcentral's name for it is "bacterial SSU rRNA". It matches the Rfam family "Bacterial small subunit ribosomal RNA", at positions 28 to 743 of the family's 1533-position model. The record is from RNAcentral. Lineage: Bacteria; Bacillati; Bacillota; Clostridia; Eubacteriales; Clostridiaceae.